RNAcentral lists this ribosomal RNA (318 nucleotides) under uncultured prokaryote. Its description in RNAcentral is "bacterial SSU rRNA". It matches the Rfam family "Bacterial small subunit ribosomal RNA", at positions 338 to 647 of the family's 1533-position model. The record is from RNAcentral.
CCUACUGGAGGCAGCAGUGAGGAAUUUUGCGCAAUGGGAGCAAUCCUGACGCAGCAACGCCGCGUGGGUGAUGAAGGCCUUCGGGUCGUAAAGCCCUGUCAGGUGGGAAGAAUGUCCCGGGACUGAACCGGUUCCGGGAGUGACGGUACCACCAGAGGAAGCACCGGCUAACUCCGUGCCAGCAGCCGCGGUAAUACGGAGGGUGCAAGCGUUAUUCGGAAUUACUGGGCGUAAAGCGCGUGUAGGCGGUCCUCCAAGUCUGAUGUGAAAGCCCCGGGCUUAACCCGGGAAGUGCAUUGGAAACGGUGGUACGUGAGU